This 381-nucleotide ribosomal RNA is filed under the name uncultured bacterium. RNAcentral describes it as "bacterial SSU rRNA". It matches the Rfam family "Bacterial small subunit ribosomal RNA", at positions 30 to 410 of the family's 1533-position model. The record is from RNAcentral.
AUUGAACGCUGGCGGCAUGCCUUACACAUGCAAGUCGAACGGCAGCACGGGGGCAACCCUGGUGGCGAGUGGCGAACGGGUGAGUAACAUAUCGGAACAUACCCUAGAGUGGGGGAUAACGUAGCGAAAGUUACGCUAAUACCGCAUACGAUCUAAGGAUGAAAGUGGGGGAUCUUCGGACCUCAUGCUCAUGGAGUGGCCGAUAUCUGAUUAGCUAGUUGGUGAGGUAAAGGCUCACCAAGGCGACGAUCAGUAGCUGGUUUGAGAGAACGACCAGCCACACUGGAACUGAGACACGGUCCAGACUCCUACGGGAGGCAGCAGUGAGGAAUUUUGGGACAAUGGGGGCAACCCUGAUCCAGCAAUGCCGCGUGAGUGAAG